UACAUCAUGAAACCAUCUAUACAUUCAUAAAUACGAAUGGUCUAAUGCCAUACUCCACUUCUACAAGCCAUCUUCGCAUGGCUGUACACUUAUACAUUUCAUAAAGUACUCGAAAGACAACAAUGGGUAGUCCUAUACAUGCCAUAACAAAAUUCAACCAAAAUAGUACCCAAAAGAGCCUUUGAUAGUGUGGGCGACUUCGACUUCAAGAUCCCGAGUCCGAUAGCUGGAGAACCAAAAAUCUUCGGGAUUUAACCGGAUAUAGCUCCUCGUUCAAAUGCCUUCGGGACAUAGCCCGGUUUUAGUAACUCACACAAUGCCUUCGGGACAUAACCCGGAUUUAACAACUCGCACGAAUGCCUUCGGGACUUAACCCGGAUUUAAUAACUCGCACGAAUGCCUUCGGGACUUAACCCGGAUUUAAUAACUCGCACGAAUGCCUUCGGGACUUAACCCGGAUUUAGUAUCUCGCACAAAGGCCUUCGGAUCUUAAUCCGGAUAUAUUCACUUAGCACAAAGCCUUCGGGACUUAGCCCGGACAGCAUUCAAUUAAUCAUGCACAUCUAACAAUAAUUCAUAGCACAUUCAUAUUUCAUUUUCGUUUACGAAACUCAAACACAAGGCACAUAUUGUCCUUGCACAUUCGGCUCAAUAGCCACACAUAGAGCAUGAUUUAAUCACAUCGAAAUUUAAGCUCUCUUACUCAAGAACUUACCUCGGGUGUUGUCGAACGAUUCCGCUAGCUAUUCAACCACUUUUUCCUUCCCUUUAUCGGUUUUAUUUCCCCUUUGCUCUUGAG
RNAcentral lists this long non-coding RNA (799 nucleotides) under Gossypium barbadense (sea-island cotton). RNAcentral's name for it is "long non-coding RNA (GBAR_LNC009232)". The record is from RNAcentral. Lineage: Eukaryota; Viridiplantae; Streptophyta; Magnoliopsida; Malvales; Malvaceae.